This is a long non-coding RNA of Nannospalax galili (Upper Galilee mountains blind mole rat), 405 nucleotides long. RefSeq lists it as uncharacterized. The transcript is spliced from 3 exons. The record is from RefSeq and is a predicted model, not a curated record. NCBI's taxonomy places the organism in Eukaryota, Metazoa, Chordata, Mammalia, Rodentia, Spalacidae.
UCUUAUAGCAAUGGGAGGAAAUUGAAAGUAGACUCAAAGGAAGGAAUAGUGGCAAUGUGUAAGGUAAUCACAAAUGAUGACAACUAGAAGGAUGGAUAUACCCCACCUGCUAACCAUCUAAGAAGCAUCAGGAAAGAAUGUGAGAUACAUCUGUGAAAUUGCCACCAUGAUUUCCCUAGUCAAAUCUCAGCAAUGAAAAAGGAAUCAAGGUGAUAUAAUGGGAAAAAUGAAGAGAAUGAUGUUACAAGAUCAAAUGUGACCUUGGGCUUAGUUAACAUUGAUGAUAUUCUAUCUUAUACUGGACAAGAAGAGAAGAGGUUAAUAUUGCUCUCUGAGACCAGCAUACAUCCUGGGAACAUGAAGGGAGGCAAGUUCAGAGUGAAGAUGUGAUUGGCAGAGUCAUAG